This 244-nucleotide ribosomal RNA is filed under the name uncultured bacterium. RNAcentral describes it as "partial 16S ribosomal RNA". It matches the Rfam family "Bacterial small subunit ribosomal RNA", at positions 533 to 776 of the family's 1533-position model. The record is from RNAcentral.
UGCAAGCGUUAUCCGGAUUUAUUGGGGUUAAAGGGUGCGUAGGCGGGCUAUUAAGUCAGUGGUGAAAGCCCCAAGCUUAACUUGGGAACUGCCAUUGAUACUGAUGGUCUUGAGUACAUUUGAGGUGGGCGGAAUGUGUCAUGUAGCGGUGAAAUGCUUAGAUAUGACACAGAACACCGAUUGCGAAGGCAGCGCACUAAACUGUAACUGACGCUGAGGCACGAAAGCGUGGGGAGCAAACAGG